Molecule: transfer RNA, 69 nt
Filed under: Apoderinae sp. 2 AV-2018
Lineage: Eukaryota; Metazoa; Arthropoda; Insecta; Coleoptera; Attelabidae
Description: tRNA-Ser
Source: RNAcentral
UAGUUAAUGAGCUUGGAUAAGCAUAUAUUUUGAAAAUAUAAGAGAGAUUUCAUAAUAAUCUAUUAACUU